Molecule: transfer RNA, 87 nt
Filed under: Candidatus Latescibacterota bacterium
Lineage: Bacteria; Pseudomonadati; Candidatus Latescibacterota
Description: tRNA-Ser
Rfam family: tRNA
About the family: Transfer RNA (tRNA) molecules are approximately 80 nucleotides in length.
Source: RNAcentral
GGAGGGCUAGACCUAAUCGGCAAGGCAGCGGCCUUGAAAGCCGCCGGGCGAAAGCCCUUGGGGGUUCGAAUCCCCCGCCCUCCGCCA